CUAUGGGUCCGCUAUGGGUCUCUAUGGGUCUCUAUGGGUCCGCUAUGGGUCUCAGUGGGUCCGCUAUGGGUCUUUAUGAGUCUGCUAUGGGUUGCUAUGGGUCCGCUCUGGGUCUCUAUGAGUCGCUAUGGGUCCACUAUGAGUCUCUAUAGGUCUCAGUGGGUCUCUAUGGGUCGCUAUGGGUCGCUAUGGGUCCGCUAUGGGUCUCUAUGGGUCUCUAUGGGUUGCUAUGCAUCCGCUAUGGGUCACUAUGGGUCUCUAUGGGUCUCAGUGGGUCGCUAUGGGUGCGCUAUGGGUCUCUAUAGGUCGCUAUGGGUCCGCUCUGGGUCUGCUAUGGGUCUCUGCCCCACACGUACCGGUGUCUCUGCAGCAGCCCCUGGCCGCGGAAGGCGGCGGCCACCACGAGGACGCGGAAGCUGCAGGCGCAGCGCGACGCCGUCGUGUCCUCCACCUCCUGCACGUGUGGGGCGGAUCACAACGCGCCUGCCCCACAUCCCUGCCCCACACCUCACACCCGGACCCACAUCCCGGCCCCACAGCUCACACCCGGCCCCACAUCCCUGCCCCACAUCCCCGCCCCACAUCUCAGACCCGGCCCCACAUCAUGGCCUCACAUCCCAGCCCCACAUCCCCGCCCCACAGCUCACACCCAGCCCCACAUCACAGCCCCACAUCCCGGCCCCACAUCCCCGCCUCACACCUCACACCCGGCCCCACAUCCUGGCCCCACAGCUCACACCCGGCCCCACAUCCUGGCCAUACAUCCCCACCCCACACCUCAGACCCAGCCCCACAUCCUGGCCCCACAUCCCAGCCCCACAUCCCCGCCCCACAGCUCACACCCGGCCCCACAUCCNNNNNNNNNNNNCCCGGCCCCACAUCCCCGCCCCACAGCUCACACCCGGCCUCACAUCCUGGCCCCACAUCCCGGCCCCACAGCUCACACCCGGACCCACAUCCUGGCCCCACAUCCCGGCCCCACAUCCCUACACCAGGCCCCACAUCCUGGCCAUACAUUCCUGCUCCACAUCCCAGCCCCACAUCUCAGACCCGGCCCCACAACUCACAUCCUGGCCCCACAUCCCGGCCCCACAUCCCGGCCCCACAUCCCGGCCCCACAUCCCGGCCCCACAGCUCACACCCAGCCCCACAUCCAGGCCCCACAUCCCUACACCAGGCCCCACAUCCUGGCCAUACAUCCCUGCUCCACAUCCCAGCCCCACAUCCCCGCCCCACAGCUCACACCCGGCCCCACAUCCUGGCCCCAAUCCCCACACCUGGCCCCACAUCCCGGCCCCACAUCCCCGCCCCACAGCUCACACCCGGCCCCACAUCCUGCCCCACAUCCCUGCCCCACAGCUCACACCUGGCCCCACAUCCUGGCCUCACAUCCCUACCCCACAUUCCCGCCCCACAUCCCCGCCCCACAUCUCACACCUGGCCUCACAUCCCCGCCCCACAUCCUGGCCCCACAGCUCACACCUGGCCCCACAUCCCUGCCCCACACCUCACACCCGGCCCCACAUCCCGGCCCCACAUCCCCGCCCCACAGCUCACACCCGGCCCCACAUCCUGGCCCCACAUCCCGGCCCCACAGCUCACACCCGGCCCCACAUCCUGGCCCCACAUCCCCACACCUGGCCCCACAUGACAGCCCCACAUCCUGGCCCCACAGCUCCCCAAAGCCGGGACCCAGACCCCAUACACUGA
Molecule: long non-coding RNA, 1710 nt
Filed under: Numida meleagris (helmeted guineafowl)
Lineage: Eukaryota; Metazoa; Chordata; Aves; Galliformes; Numididae
Description: lncRNA (ENSNMEG00000001390.1)
Source: RNAcentral